This 164-nucleotide ribosomal RNA is filed under the name Muhlenbergia biloba. RNAcentral describes it as "5.8S ribosomal RNA". It matches the Rfam family "5.8S ribosomal RNA". Rfam says of the family: 5.8S ribosomal RNA (5.8S rRNA) is a component of the large subunit of the eukaryotic ribosome. It is transcribed by RNA polymerase I as part of the 45S precursor that also contains 18S and 28S rRNA. Functionally, it is thought that 5.8S rRNA may be involved in ribosome translocation. Lineage: Eukaryota; Viridiplantae; Streptophyta; Magnoliopsida; Poales; Poaceae. The record is from RNAcentral.
CACAUGACUCUCGGCAACGGAUAUCUCGGCUCUCGCAUCGAUGAAGAACGUAGCAAAAUGCGAUACCUGGUGUGAAUUGCAGAAUCCCGUGAACCAUUGAGUUUUUGAACGCAAGUUGCGCCUGAGGCCUUUUGGUUGAGGGCACGUCUGCCUGGGCGUCACGC